RNAcentral lists this ribosomal RNA (253 nucleotides) under uncultured bacterium. RNAcentral describes it as "partial 16S ribosomal RNA". It matches the Rfam family "Bacterial small subunit ribosomal RNA", at positions 524 to 776 of the family's 1533-position model. The record is from RNAcentral.
UACGAAGGGUGCAAACGUUGCUCGGAAUUAUUGGGCGUAAAGCGCACGUAGGCGGCUUUGCAAGUCGGAUGUGAAAUCCCUCGGCUUAACCAAGGAAGUGCAUCCGAAACUGCAGAGCUUGAGUACUUAAGAGGAUCGCGGAAUUCCCGGUGUAGAGGUGAAAUUCGUAGAUAUCGGGAGGAACACCAGUGGCGAAGGCGGCGAUCUGGGAAGAUACUGACGCUGAGGUGCGAAAGCGUGGGGAGCGAACAGG